CCUACGGGGUGCAGCAGUGGGGAAUAUUGCACAAUGGGGGAAACCCUGAUGCAGCGACGCCGCGUGAGUGAAGAAGUAUCUCGGUACGUAAAGCUCUAUCAUCAGGGAAGAAAAUGACGGUACCUGACUAAGAAGCCCCUGCUAACUACUUGCCAGCAGCCGCGGUAAUACGUAGGGGGCAAGCGUUAUCCGGAUUUACUGGGUGUAAAGGGAGCGUAGACGGCAGCACAAGUCUGGAGUGAAAUCCCGGGGCUUAACCCCGGAGCUGCGUUGGAAACUGGGCGGCUGGAGUGCAGGAGGGGUAAGCGGAAUUCCUAGUGUAGCGGUGAAAUGCGUAGAUAUUAGGAGGAACACCGGUGGCGAAGGCGGCUUACUGGACUGUAACUGACGUUGAGGCUCGAAAGCGUGGGGAGCAAACAGGAUUAGAUACCCCGGUAGUC
RNAcentral lists this ribosomal RNA (440 nucleotides) under uncultured bacterium. RNAcentral describes it as "partial 16S ribosomal RNA". It matches the Rfam family "Bacterial small subunit ribosomal RNA", at positions 338 to 795 of the family's 1533-position model. The record is from RNAcentral.